CAGUAGCCACGGUAAUACGAAGGGUGCGAGCGUUACUCGGAAUUACUGGGCGUAAAGCGUGUGUAGGUGGUUGUUUAAGUCUGUCGCGAAAGCCCUGGGCUCAACCUGGGAAUUGCGAUGGAUACUGGGCGACUAGAGUGCGGUAGAGGAUAGUGGAAUUUCCGGUGUAGCAGUGAAGUGCGUAGAGAUCGGAAGGAACAUCUGUGGCGAAGGCGACUAUCUGGGCCAACACUGACACUGAGACACGAAAGCGUGGGGAGCAAACAGGAUUAGAUACCCGAGUAGUCCCUGUCUCUUAUAC
RNAcentral lists this ribosomal RNA (301 nucleotides) under uncultured bacterium. RNAcentral's name for it is "partial 16S ribosomal RNA". It matches the Rfam family "Bacterial small subunit ribosomal RNA", at positions 509 to 807 of the family's 1533-position model. The record is from RNAcentral.